This 637-nucleotide ribosomal RNA is filed under the name uncultured archaeon. Its description in RNAcentral is "bacterial SSU rRNA". It matches the Rfam family "Archaeal small subunit ribosomal RNA", at positions 781 to 1448 of the family's 1478-position model. The record is from RNAcentral.
CUCCUCGAGAGGUAUUAGUGCUGUAGGGAAGCCGAAGAGUGUGCUACCUGGGAAGUAUAGUCGCAAGGCCGAAACUUAAAGGAAUUGGCGGGGAGACACUACGACGGGUGACGCGUGCGGUUCAAUUAGAUUAUACACCGUGAACCUUACCAGGAGCGACAGCAGAAUGAAGGUCAGCCUGAAGGGCUUACCUGACACGCUGAGCAGAGUUGCAUGGCCGACGUCAGCCUGUGCCGUGAGGUGACCUGUUAAAUCAGGUAACAGGCAAGACCCACAUACAUAUUUGGUUAAGACUAUAUGUAGAUUGCCCGGGUAACCGGGGUGAAAGUGUGGGCUACGUUAGGUGGGUACAGCCUUAAUCCCCUGGGAUACACGCGCGUGUCAACGGCAGAUACAAUGGGAUGCAACUCCGAAAGGAGAAGCCAAUCUCUUAAAGUCUGUCUCAGUCCAGAUCGAGGUUUGUAACUCAGCCUCGUGACGCUGGAAUCCGUAGUAAUCGGGUAUUAUCAGUGCCCGGUGAAUACGUCACUGUCUCUUGCACACACUGCCCGUCAAACCAACCAAGUUUAUUUAGGAUGAAACUUUUCGAAGGAGAAUCUUGGGUAAGUGAGGUAGGUUAAGUCGUAACAAGGUAGCC